RNAcentral lists this ribosomal RNA (331 nucleotides) under uncultured bacterium. Its description in RNAcentral is "bacterial SSU rRNA". It matches the Rfam family "Bacterial small subunit ribosomal RNA", at positions 568 to 898 of the family's 1533-position model. The record is from RNAcentral.
UGCGCAGGCGGUUUUGUAAGCCAGAUGUGAAAUCCCCGGGCUCAACCUGGGAAUGGCAUUUGGGACUGCAAGGCUUGAGUAUGGCAGAGGGGACUAGAAUUCCUGGUGUAGCAGUGAAAUGCGUAGAUAUCAGGAGGAAUACCGAUGGCGAAGGCAGGUCCCUGGGUUAAUACUGACGCUCAUGCACGAAAGCGUGGGGAGCAAACAGGAUUAGAUACCCUGGUAGUCCACGCCCUAAACGAUGUCAACUGGUUGUUGGGGGUUUGACACUCUCAGUAACGAAGCUAACGCGUGAAGUUGACCGCCUGGGGAGUACGGCCGCAAGGUUAAA